RNAcentral lists this ribosomal RNA (2729 nucleotides) under Escherichia coli DEC5E. Its description in RNAcentral is "bacterial LSU rRNA". It matches the Rfam family "Bacterial large subunit ribosomal RNA". Lineage: Bacteria; Pseudomonadati; Pseudomonadota; Gammaproteobacteria; Enterobacterales; Enterobacteriaceae. The record is from RNAcentral.
UAGGUUAAUGAGGCGAACCGGGGGAACUGAAACAUCUAAGUACCCCGAGGAAAAGAAAUCAACCGAGAUUCCCCCAGUAGCGGCGAGCGAACGGGGAGGAGCCCAGAGCCUGAAUCAGUGUGUGUGUUAGUGGAAGUGUCUGGAAAGGCGCGCGAUACAGGGUGACAGCCCCGUACACAAAAAUGCACAUGCUGUGAGCUCGAUGAGUAGGGCGGGACACGUGGUAUCCUGUCUGAAUAUGGGGGGACCAUCCUCCAAGGCUAAAUACUCCUGACUGACCGAUAGUGAACCAGUACCGUGAGGGAAAGGCGAAAAGAACCCCGGCGAGGGGAGUGAAAAAGAACCUGAAACCGUGUACGUACAAGCAGUGGGAGCCAUGGUGACUGCGUACCUUUUGUAUAAUGGGUCAGCGACUUAUAUUCUGUAGCAAGGUUAACCGAAUAGGGGAGCCGAAGGGAAACCGAGUCUUAACUGGGCGUUAAGUUGCAGGGUAUAGACCCGAAACCCGGUGAUCUAGCCAUGGGCAGGUUGAAGGUUGGGUAACACUAACUGGAGGACCGAACCGACUAAUGUUGAAAAAUUAGCGGAUGACUUGUGGCUGGGGGUGAAAGGCCAAUCAAACCGGGAGAUAGCUGGUUCUCCCCGAAAGCUAUUUAGGUAGCGCCUCGUGAAUUCAUCUCCGGGGGUAGAGCACUGUUUCGGCAAGGGGGUCAUCCCGACUUACCAACCCGAUGCAAACUGCGAAUACCGGAGAAUGUUAUCACGGGAGACACACGGCGGGUGCUAACGUCCGUCGUGAAGAGGGAAACAACCCAGACCGCCAGCUAAGGUCCCAAAGUCAUGGUUAAGUGGGAAACGAUGUGGGAAGGCCCAGACAGCCAGGAUGUUGGCUUAGAAGCAGCCAUCAUUUAAGAAAGCGUAAUAGCUCACUGGUCGAGUCGGCCUGCGCGGAAGAUGUAACGGGGCUAAACCAUGCACCGAAGCUGCGGCAGCGACACUGUGUGUUGUUGGGUAGGGGAGCGUUCUGUAAGCCUGUGAAGGUGUGCUGUGAGGCAUGCUGGAGGUAUCAGAAGUGCGAAUGCUGACAUAAGUAACGAUAAAGCGGGUGAAAAGCCCGCUCGCCGGAAGACCAAGGGUUCCUGUCCAACGUUAAUCGGGGCAGGGUGAGUCGACCCCUAAGGCGAGGCCGAAAGGCGUAGUCGAUGGGAAACAGGUUAAUAUUCCUGUACUUGGUGUUACUGCGAAGGGGGGACGGAGAAGGCUAUGUUGGCCGGGCGACGGUUGUCCCGGUUUAAGCGUGUAGGCUGGUUUUCCAGGCAAAUCCGGAAAAUCAAGGCUGAGGCGUGAUGACGAGGCACUACGGUGCUGAAGCAACAAAUGCCCUGCUUCCAGGAAAAGCCUCUAAGCAUCAGGUAACAUCAAAUCGUACCCCAAACCGACACAGGUGGUCAGGUAGAGAAUACCAAGGCGCUUGAGAGAACUCGGGUGAAGGAACUAGGCAAAAUGGUGCCGUAACUUCGGGAGAAGGCACGCUGAUAUGUAGGUGAAGUCCCUCGCGGAUGGAGCUGAAAUCAGUCGAAGAUACCAGCUGGCUGCAACUGUUUAUUAAAAACACAGCACUGUGCAAACACGAAAGUGGACGUAUACGGUGUGACGCCUGCCCGGUGCCGGAAGGUUAAUUGAUGGGGUCAGCGCAAGCGAAGCUCUUGAUCGAAGCCCCGGUAAACGGCGGCCGUAACUAUAACGGUCCUAAGGUAGCGAAAUUCCUUGUCGGGUAAGUUCCGACCUGCACGAAUGGCGUAAUGAUGGCCAGGCUGUCUCCACCCGAGACUCAGUGAAAUUGAACUCGCUGUGAAGAUGCAGUGUACCCGCGGCAAGACGGAAAGACCCCGUGAACCUUUACUAUAGCUUGACACUGAACAUUGAGCCUUGAUGUGUAGGAUAGGUGGGAGGCUUUGAAGUGUGGACGCCAGUCUGCAUGGAGCCGACCUUGAAAUACCACCCUUUAAUGUUUGAUGUUCUAACGUGGACCCGUGAUCCGGGUUGCGGACAGUGUCUGGUGGGUAGUUUGACUGGGGCGGUCUCCUCCUAAAGAGUAACGGAGGAGCACGAAGGUUGGCUAAUCCUGGUCGGACAUCAGGAGGUUAGUGCAAUGGCAUAAGCCAGCUUGACUGCGAGCGUGACGGCGCGAGCAGGUGCGAAAGCAGGUCAUAGUGAUCCGGUGGUUCUGAAUGGAAGGGCCAUCGCUCAACGGAUAAAAGGUACUCCGGGGAUAACAGGCUGAUACCGCCCAAGAGUUCAUAUCGACGGCGGUGUUUGGCACCUCGAUGUCGGCUCAUCACAUCCUGGGGCUGAAGUAGGUCCCAAGGGUAUGGCUGUUCGCCAUUUAAAGUGGUACGCGAGCUGGGUUUAGAACGUCGUGAGACAGUUCGGUCCCUAUCUGCCGUGGGCGCUGGAGAACUGAGGGGGGCUGCUCCUAGUACGAGAGGACCGGAGUGGACGCAUCACUGGUGUUCGGGUUGUCAUGCCAAUGGCACUGCCCGGUAGCUAAAUGCGGAAGAGAUAAGUGCUGAAAGCAUCUAAGCACGAAACUUGCCCCGAGAUGAGUUCUCCCUGACCCUUUAAGGGUCCUGAAGGAACGUUGAAGACGACGACGUUGAUAGGCCGGGUGUGUAAGCGCAGCGAUGCGUUGAGCUAACCGGUACUAAUGAACCGUGAGGCUUAACCUU